CAAGUCGAAUGUAGCAAUACAUGGGCGGACGGGUGAGUAACGCGUGAGCAAUCUGCCCAUAUCUGGGGGAUAACAGUUGGAAACGACUGAUAAUACCGCAUAACAUCGUUUGAAGGCAUCUUCGGACGAUCAAAGAUUUAUCGGAUAUGGAUGAGCUCGCGUCUGAUUAGCUGGUUGGUGAGGUAACGGCCCACCAAGGCGACGAUGCAUAGCCGGCCUGAGAGGGCGGACGGCCACACUGGGACUGAGACACGGCCCAGACUCCUACGGGAGGCAGCAGUAGGGAAUUUUCGUCAAUGGGCGCAAGCCUGAACGAGCAAUGCCGCGUGAACGAGGAAGGUCUUCGGAUCGUAAAGUUCUGUUGAAGGGGAAAAAGAGCGGAGAGAGGAAAUGGUCUCCGAUUGAUAUUACCCUUCGAGGAAGUCACGGCUAACUACGUGCCAGCAGCCGCGGUAAUACGUAGGUGGCGAGCGUUAUCCGGAAUGAUUGGGCGUAAAGGGUGCGUAGGCGGCCUGCUAAGUCUGGAGUGAAAGGUACCGGCUCAACCGGUACAGGCUCUGGAAACUGGCGGGCUAGAGAGCAGGAGAGGGCGGUGGAACUCCAUGUGUAGCGGUAAAAUGCGUAGAUAUAUGGAAGAACACCAGUGGCGAAGGCGGCCGCCUGGCCUGUUACUGACGCUGAGGCACAAAGCGUGGGGAGCAAAUAGGAUUAGAUACCCUAGUAG
Molecule: ribosomal RNA, 724 nt
Filed under: uncultured bacterium
Lineage: Bacteria
Description: bacterial SSU rRNA
Rfam family: Bacterial small subunit ribosomal RNA
Source: RNAcentral